GGCAUUAGGGUUAGCAGUGUGGUUAGGGUUAGGCAUUAGGGUUAGCAGUGUGGUUAAGGUUAGGCAUUAGGUUUAGCAGUGUGGUUAAGGUUAGGAAUUAGGGUUAGCAGUGUGGUUAGGGUUAAGGUUAUCAGUGUGCUUAAGGCUAGGGUUAAGGUUAGGUUCAAUGACAUUGUGGCUGUUCCAACUAGUGUCCCCUCUGCAGAGCAGUACAAGAUUCAUGAAGAAAAAUGCUAACCUGCAUGUCAUACGAGCAGAGAGGUGAAUGCUAACCUGCAUGUCAUACGAGCAGAGAGGUGAAUGCUAACCUGCAUGUCAUACGAGCAGAGAGGUGAAUGCUAACCUGCAUGUCAUACGAGCAGAGAGGUGAAUGCUAACCUGCAUGUCAUACGAGCAGAGAGGUGAAUGCUAACCUGCAUGUCAUACGAGCAGAGAGGUGAAUGCUAACCUGCAUGUCAUACGAGCAGAGAGGUGAAUGCUAACCUGCAUGUCAUACGAGCAGAGAGGUGAAUGCUAACCUGCAUGUCAUACGAGCAGAGAGGUGAAUGCUAACCUGCAUGUCAUACGAGCAGAGAGGUGAAUGCUAACCUGCAUGUCAUACGAGCAGAGAGGUGAAUGCUAACCUGCAUGUCAUACGAGCAGAGAGGUGAAUGCUAACCUGCAUGUCAUACGAGCAGAGAGGUGAAUGCUAACCUGCAUGUCAUACGAGCAGAGAGGUGAAUGCUAACCUGCAUGUCAUACGAGCAGAGAGGUGAAUGCUAACCUGCAUGUCAUACGAGCAGAGAGGUGAAUGCUAACCUGCAUGUCAUACGAGCAGAGAGGUGAAUGCUUACUCAGAGUAUAUUUCACUUGAAACACUUUACAGCUCAAGCUAAUUGGCUAAUGUAACAUGUCCUCAUAUUCCCCUACAGUUGAAUACCUAAAAAUCCUUCUUGUGUCGGUUCUGAAAUAUUAAUGACAGACUGAUUAAUCAUCCUGGUUUGCGUCAGAUUUUAGACACACACCGUAUCUGGUUCUCCAUUAAAAGCACCACCACACCGACCACUUCUCUACUGGGAAAACAAUGGCUUCCUGUAGCAGUGAUGUGCUGUGGAGCAUCGCAUCUCGUGGGGUGUUGAUUUACUAAUCUCCCCCAGGGGAAUGAGACGUUACUGGGCCUGGCAGACCUUGAGGAAACCGUGGCAGAUCCUGGGUGUUGUUGGAAGCCAGCCCCAUACAUUUAACUAGCCCUCUGGUUCCUGGCUCCUUAUGGCCUCCUGGCCUACUUCUGCUGUGUGACAUCACCAAGGCCCGGCUUGGGGUAUCGGACCCGCACCUGUCGCUUGUUGCUGCCUCUGACUGGGAGAGGUCCCAGAAAGCUGAGGCCCGAGAGGGAGGAAUGAGGGGCAGCUGUGCCUCUCUGCGCACCCCUCCCACCCAUAACCAGGCUAAUACCCCUAGACUCAGUUAUUCAGUUAUAGCCUCUCAAACUCUGCCCCUCCUUGCCUCUCUCCCUCUCUAGCGUUCCGCAGUCCUGACAGUGACCAGAGGAUCAACACCGGGUACCUCAGAAUACAUCCAUACACCAGCAGCAGGCCAGACCAGGGCCUGGUUGGGAUGGUUGGGAGGUGUAACCUGAGCUCGCCAUGGGAAUGCCACCCAUCUGUGGCACUUUAAACCUCUCUUGGGAUGCUUCUCUCAGGCUGGGCUGUCUAUUUACAUCACAUGGGCCUGGAUCCCUUCCUGUUUUUACUGCUUAGUGGGCAGCGGCAGAGUCCACUUUCUGUCUACUUCUGCAAUGUGUUGAAAUGUUCCUCUGUUAGCUCCUAUCUGUUUAUUAAAUGGUCAAAUGUC
Oncorhynchus keta (chum salmon) is the source of this 1833-nucleotide long non-coding RNA. RefSeq lists it as uncharacterized. The record is from RefSeq and is a predicted model, not a curated record. NCBI's taxonomy places the organism in Eukaryota, Metazoa, Chordata, Actinopteri, Salmoniformes, Salmonidae. The transcript has 2 exons.